CCCCUGCGCCAAUGGUACUUCGUCUUAAGACGCGGGAGAGUAGGGCGCCGCCGGGC
Molecule: ribosomal RNA, 56 nt
Filed under: Pseudovibrio denitrificans
Lineage: Bacteria; Pseudomonadati; Pseudomonadota; Alphaproteobacteria; Hyphomicrobiales; Stappiaceae
Source: RNAcentral